GGUUCGGGUGUUGGGGCCUGGUCCCGCUUGCAAAAGCUCCCACGGACCAGAGAAAAGAGGAGGAUGUCAGACGUAGAAACAAAUGGCGUGUCAAGUUUCGCAGGAAGAGAGGGAAGAGUGAAGCUCCGGGAGCCAGCCACGAUUAGUCGCGCCUUCUGUGACGUCCAAUGGCAGAGGUGACUCUGAAGCAGAACUCUUGAGAUGGAAGGAUUGUCAUCUGAGGAAAAAAAAUCAAGAUUAAGAGAGGAGGAACUAGAAUGAGAUUCACAUACCGUCUCUCCUCCAAGGGAAGGAGAGAGUGGUGAUGCCUGCCCACUCCUUCCUGGGCAGAACAUUUGUAGCAUGGAACAUUGGAGAAUUUGCAGUCUGCUGACUUUCUGAUUUAGGAGGUUGAUGGGGAGGCCUUAUAAUUUGCAUUUCUAACAAGUUCUGAGGUGAUGCUUCAAGUAUGUCCAGGCAGAAGGGCUGCCUCACAGAGAAUUCUGCCAUACCACAUGGGAAUUGAAGUCACAGACAUCUCUAACCCUCAAGCCUGAAACCAAAAGACUGAAAACCAACACUACAGUGGACAAAGAACAUCUCUGAACUUGUGUGGGGACCAGUGACACAAGGACCUAAGGUCUCUCUCUUCUCAUCUUGGCACUUCAGAAGUCUCCCCAAUCUUGACAAAGCCCUGGAGAAAGGGCCGGGCCUCCCGUUGAUAAGAAUAUCACUGCAGAUAAAUGGAGGUUUCAAAUUGAAAGAAAGGAGGAGGGCCUCCUGUUGAUAAGAUUAUUGUCACUGCAGGUAAAUGGAGGCUUCAAAUAGAAAUACAUUUCAGUUACAGAAAAAAAAAUUAUCUUUGUUACACAUUUGAGUUUGCAGGCCUAAGGUUACUCCCGCUACACUAUCAUCUGUAACCAUAACGCACUCAACAUUUUAAGCUAACUAUAAGGAUUGUUGCUUCACUCAAAGAUCCUGAGGUUUUAUUCACUAACAUUUUUAUUUGGUGACUAUAGUUGACAAGAACAAAGCUGUGGGGAACCAACAAACACUGCAAUGCCUGGCAUUGUCACCUCACUAGAUUGUGAGUUCCUCUGGGACAGGGUCCGUACAUUUUCUUAGAAUCCCUCACUUAGCCAUUAGCCUGCACAGUGCUUGUACUUAGUAAGUGCUCAGUAAAUGUUUGUGGAAUGAAUGCAUGAUGAACAAAAUAUAUACUGAGGACUCUUGGUGUUGAUUCUUGUUGAUAAUGUAAUAGUUAAGAUAUGUUAUAAAUAUGUUAUAAAUAUUGUAUCAAAAUAUUGUAUCAAAAAUAUACUUGAACAGGCUGGGCGUGGUGGCUCACACUUGUAAUCCCAGCCCUUUAGGAGGCUGAGGUGGGUGGAUCACUUGAGGUCAGGAGUUCGAGACCAGACUGGCCAACAUGGUAAAACCCCAUCUCCACUAAAAAAAAACAAAAGUUAACUGGGCAUGGUUGUGGGUGACUGUAAUCCCAGCUACUCAGGAGGCUGAGGCAGGAGAAUCGCUUGAACCCGGGAGGUAGAGGUUGCAGUGAACCAAGAUCGCACCACUGCACUCUAGGGGACAGAGCAAGACGCCUCAAAAAAAAAAAUGUAUAUAUAUAGUAUAUACAUACACAUGAGCAUAAAGGAGCUUCAAUGUGAAGGUAAUAAUUUAAGCAACAUUUCACAUUUUGGACCUGUGUUGUUAGCUAUUUAGAACAGUUAAACUACUAGCUUGCUUUUAAAUCCAUUGUCUUAGUCAUUUCAAGUUGUUAUAACAAAAUACCAUACACUGAGUAGUUUAUAAACAACAGAAUGCAUUUCUCUCAAUUCUGGAGGCUGGGAAGUCCAAGAUCAAGGUGCUGGCAGAUUGUGUGUAGUGAAGAUCCAUUCAUCAGAGAUGGCACCUUCUCGUUGUGUCCUCACAUGGUGGAUGGGGCAACAGGCUCUCUUAGGCUUCUUUUAUAAGGGCAAUAAUUCAUGAAGUUUCCACACUUAUGAUAGAAUUACCUCCUAGAGGCCCCACUUCCAAAUACCAUCACCUUGAGGGUUAGGUUUCAACAUACAAAUUUUGGAGGUACACAUUCAGAUGAUGACAGCACUCAUAGGUUACCUUUCAUCUUUGGGUUCUCAGUGCCUGCUACAACAGCACAAGAACAGUAAGUGUGUGCUGAAUGAAUACAGAUGAAUGAACCUUUCCCCAUCCUCAGAUACUUCCCAACUGAGCUCCACUAUCACCAAACUUCUAGAGCACAUUAUUUUUUGCCUUAUGAUCUCGUUAGGUGGGUUUUUCUUGCACAUACCACACUAAUCCAGUGGUCCUCAAAAUUGUGUGCCCAUUAGAAUCCUCUGGAGGGGUUGUAAAAAUAGUUUGCUGGGUCCUAACCCCAGAGUUUCUGAUUUAGGAGGUUUGGGAUGGGGACACCAAAAUUUGCAUUUCUAACAAGUCCAGAGGUGAUGUUGAUACUGCUGGCUACCAACUCUACCUUAUAAACCAUUGCCCAUUAAACUCUUGAGGGUAGAGACUGUCUUCCUCAUUUCAGUAUCUGCUGAAGCCUCUGGCAUAGUACCUGGCACAUAGUAAGCUGUUGCUUUAAAAAAAAUAAAAAAUGUAACCUUUCUUUGCUUAUAUUCUAAAAUGACACCAACCAUCCUACAUGUGUGCUCUUAAAUAGCUUAUAUAUUAGAAUAAUGGAAUCUUAGUACUAAAGGCUGGAUGUGGUUGCUCAUGCCUGUAAUCCCAGCACCUUGGGAAGCCGAGGUGGGUGGAUCACUUGAGGUCAGGAGUUCAAGACCAACCUGUUCAAUAUGGUAAAACCCUGUCUCUACUAAAAAUACAAAAAUUAGCCCUGCGUGGUGGUGCAUGCCUGUAGUCGCAGAUACUUAGGAGGCUGAGGCAGGAGAAUUGCUUGAACCUGGGAGGUAGAGGUUGCAGUGAGCUGAGAAGAUUGUACCACUGCACUCCAGCCUGGGCAAAAGAGACUGUCUAAAAAAAAAAAAAAAAAGUAAUCUAGUUAAUAUUUCAAUAUUGAGCAUCAAGAAUUUUUAAAAAUUGGUUGAGUGUUUUCUACAUGCAGAAAGAUACAGCAGAGAGCAUAGACACAAUCCUUGCCCUCCCAAGCGUAUACCCAGCGAGAAAGUGAGAAGCACAGAGUAUGUGUAAGCAUAAAAAUACUAAGUUUUGAGAGUAGACAGCAACUAUGAAAAUAUUCAGUUAUAUCGAUGCAACUCAGUCUUCAUUAAUUGUUCUCAUCGGAGCACAUCUUUUUCACAUUCUGUAAAGUAACGCUCGGUAUGGGCCCAAGGAAUAUUUAAUAAAUAUUUAAAAAUGAAGUUAAUAAUUGUUUUGAAAGCCAUAUGGUUGAUAUUUCUUCUUAAAUGUAACCAAUAGAAACAACAUAAGGAAUUUGGCCUGUGCAUAUAUUUGCACAUUUAUGGUACAGGCAUUUACAUGGAGGUGCCUGUCAUUUGUGACACAGACUUCUCAUCAAGUUUCAGAAGGAACAGAUGUUUCUAGAUGGAAUAAUAUGGAGCUUGCCAUUGUAAGAAUCCUGUAAUAAAUCCUUUCAUAAAAUAAAUAUAUCUGAAUUAUCUCUUGUUAUACAUUUUCACUCCUGGAUCAUCUAAAGUAGAACACAAAGAUUGUUCAUAAACUAUUCAUUCAAAACAACUUUAUAUAAAAAGAAUUACUGUUG
This 3679-nucleotide long non-coding RNA is filed under the name Homo sapiens (human). RNAcentral's name for it is "HSALNT0037103". Lineage: Eukaryota; Metazoa; Chordata; Mammalia; Primates; Hominidae. The record is from RNAcentral.